RNAcentral lists this ribosomal RNA (227 nucleotides) under uncultured Methanolinea sp. Its description in RNAcentral is "partial 16S ribosomal RNA". It matches the Rfam family "Archaeal small subunit ribosomal RNA", at positions 1112 to 1338 of the family's 1478-position model. The record is from RNAcentral. Lineage: Archaea; Methanobacteriati; Methanobacteriota; Methanomicrobia; Methanomicrobiales; Methanoregulaceae.
UGCUAAAGAGGAGGAAGGAAUGGGCAACGGUAGGUCAGCAUGCCCCGAAUUAUCCGGGCUACACGCGGGCUACAAUGGUCAGGACAAUGGGUAUCGACACCGAGAGGUGGAGGCAAUCUCCUAAACCUGUCCUUAGUUCGGAUUGUGGGCUGCAACUCGCCCACAUGAAGCUGGAAUCCGUAGUAAUCGCGUUUCAAAAUAGCGCGGUGAAUAUGUCCCUGCUCCUU